Molecule: ribosomal RNA, 238 nt
Filed under: Marcetia canescens
Lineage: Eukaryota; Viridiplantae; Streptophyta; Magnoliopsida; Myrtales; Melastomataceae
Description: partial 28S ribosomal RNA
Rfam family: Eukaryotic large subunit ribosomal RNA
Source: RNAcentral
GCGAUCCCAGGUCAGGCGGGGCUACCCGCUGAGUUUAAGCAUAUCAAUAAGCGGAGGAAAAGAAACUAACGAGGAUUCCCUUAGUAGCGGCGAGCGAACCGGGAGGAGCCCAGCAUGAAAAUCGUUCGCCGUCGGCGGCCGAAUUGUAGUCUGGAGAAGCGUCCUCAGUGACGGACCGGACCCAAGUUCACUGGAAGGUGGCGCCGGAAAGGGUGAGAGCCCCGUCGUGCCCGGACCC